Bison bison bison is the source of this 60-nucleotide microRNA precursor. Lineage: Eukaryota; Metazoa; Chordata; Mammalia; Artiodactyla; Bovidae. The record is from Ensembl.
CAAAAAGUUCAUUCAGAUUUUUCCAUAAAAUGUACUGGAAAACCUGAAUGAACUUUUUGU